GAUGAACGCUGGCGGCGUGCUUAACACAUGCAAGUCGAACGGAAAGGCCCAAGCUUGCUUGGGUACUCGAGUGGCGAACGGGUGAGUAACACGUGGGUGAUCUGCCCUGCACUUCGGGAUAAGCCUGGGAAACUGGGUCUAAUACCGGAUAGGACCACUUCUUGGAUGUUGUGGUGGAAAGUUUUUUCGGUGUGGGAUGAGCUCGCGGCCUAUCAGCUUGUUGGUGGGGUAAUGGCCUACCAAGGCGUCGACGGGUAGCCGGCCUGAGAGGGUGUACGGCCAAAUUGGGACUGGGAUACGGCCCAGACUCCUACGGGAGGCAGCAGUGGGGAAUAUUGCACAAUGGGGGCAAGCCUGAUGCAGCGACGCCGCGUGGGGGAUGAAGGCCUUCGGGUUGUAAACUCCUUUCGCUAGGGACGAAGCGUUUUGUGACGGUACCUGGAGAAGAAGCACCGGCUAACUACGUG
This 467-nucleotide ribosomal RNA is filed under the name uncultured bacterium. RNAcentral describes it as "partial 16S ribosomal RNA". It matches the Rfam family "Bacterial small subunit ribosomal RNA", at positions 28 to 507 of the family's 1533-position model. The record is from RNAcentral.